AUGUGUUUAUACUGUUGAAAAGGUGGUGAGGUUGCCUACUGAGAUAGGCCUACUGAGGUUGCUGUUCAUCACUGUGCAGUGAACUCCAGCUCUGUAGGUCAAAUUCUACACCUGUGUGAGUGGUCCCACCGUUGGGUUGCCUUUCCACAGUCUGCUGUCUUGAGGGAGCCCAGGCCUGGCCACAGUCAUCAGUCAGCUAAGAUGCUUCCUCCUCUCUGCUCCAUAGCCACAAAUGGGCCCUGCUUGCAGCAAUUCAGCAGGAAAGGGCCAGGAUGAGAUAGCUCUGGGUGUUCCAGAAAGCACUGAAGGGUUCAGAUUUGGUGCCAAAUUGCGUGUGGAGAUACCUGCACCGCUUCAGCUGUCCCGGGCACCAGUGGAGGAGGUGCUGACAGGGUUCCCCUGGGCUGAGCUGAUGCACCUGCAGGAGAGUGAGGAGAAAAGGAAGUGAAUUGCAAGCCAGGACAGCCUUGGAACUGGGUGAGGAAGAGUAAUUUUUCAGGAAAUUGAAGGACAGGACAAGGAGCUUUUUGCCCUUAACAAUCCUGACUUUGCUGCUGUGGUUCCAGGCCAGCUCUACGACUGCACAGGCCUGUGCUGUCCCCUGGGAAGGGUCCUCCUGCCACGCUGGCUGCUGGUGACCUUGCAGGGAACAUGGAGCUGCUGACUGUCAUGGCACCAGAGGAAACAGGAAAGGAUGCAACAGCAUCACAAGCUGAGGUGGAAGGAGUAGAAAAAGCAGCAGCAACAGGGGAGGUGGAAAGCCCAGCGAGAACAGGUCUGUGUGGAAAGGUGGUCAUUCCUGAAGGAG
This is a long non-coding RNA of Manacus vitellinus (golden-collared manakin), 808 nucleotides long. RefSeq lists it as uncharacterized. NCBI's taxonomy places the organism in Eukaryota, Metazoa, Chordata, Aves, Passeriformes, Pipridae. The transcript is spliced from 6 exons. The record is from RefSeq and is a predicted model, not a curated record.